Punica granatum (pomegranate) is the source of this 718-nucleotide non-coding RNA. NCBI's taxonomy places the organism in Eukaryota, Viridiplantae, Streptophyta, Magnoliopsida, Myrtales, Lythraceae. The record is from RefSeq and is a predicted model, not a curated record.
GCCCGCACUUUUUAAAUUUUUUUUUUAUUUUUUCUUAUAUUUAUAAAUUAUUUAAUUUUAUGGUGCAAGGGGACCAAUCAACGUGGCCAGGGCUUUUUAACAGCAACCUAACGGACAUCUAACGGCGUGCUAGUUUUGCCAAGAAAAUUUAAUUUUAUGAUAUGACGUGCCAAUUUUAAAAACCGUGAUAGGAAGUGAAAAUGCCGUUCAAACUGUGAUAGGGGUGCUAUUUUCCCUGUAAUUUACACCCACUUUCAUUUGGCAAUUUCUUGAUUUUCACAUCUUGCUUUUAUAUCGUCUCUGUAGCUACUGCCGUCCACUGUAUAUAAAGAGGGAACAAGUUGCUGUAUGUUCUCACAUUUAAUCAUACACACAUAAGGUGAAAAAGGUACAAAUUGUCCUGCCCCUUCAUUUCCGCCGAAACAUGAAGAACAUCUCGUCAACAUUAUUGCUUGUGGCAUUCCUUUUCCUCGUUUUAUCUUCCGGUUUUAUGUUGGGAGAGGCGCAGGAGCAGGGAUGCACCCAGCCUCCAUUCAAAGUUCGGGGAUGCUUUACAGAGGAGUGCGUAAAUUUGUGCAAAUCAAUGUUCGGCAGCACCAGCAGUGGAAAAUGUGUCGACGCCGAUCAUUGUUGUUGCAUUGAGUAGCUUAGAUAUUGCAUGAAACCUCAUGAAUAAAGCCAAUCUCCAAUAAAUAAAACCUGCUAUGGGUUCCCAGUU